This 759-nucleotide ribosomal RNA is filed under the name uncultured bacterium. RNAcentral's name for it is "bacterial SSU rRNA". It matches the Rfam family "Bacterial small subunit ribosomal RNA", at positions 8 to 796 of the family's 1533-position model. The record is from RNAcentral.
AGAGUUUGAUCAUGGCUCAGAAUCAACGCUGGCGGCGCGCUUAACACAUGCAAGUCGCACGAGAAAGUGGAGCAAUCCAUGAGUACAGUGGCGUACGGGUGAGUAACACGUGGAUCAUCUACCUCUUGGUGGGGAAUAACCCUGGGAAACCGGGGCUAAUACCGCAUAAGCCUGCAAAGGGAAAGCAGCAAUGCGCCGAGAGAGGAGUCCGCGGCCGAUUAGCUGGUUGGUAGGGUAAUGGCCUACCAAGGCAAUGAUCGGUAGCCGGCCUGAGAGGGCACACGGCCACACUGGCACUGAAAACACGGGGCCAGACUCCUACGGGAGGCAGCAGUGGGGAAUCUUGCACAAUGGGGGAAACCCUGAUGCAGCGACGCCGCGUGAGCGAUGAAGCCCUUCGGGGUGUAAAGCUCUUUCGGCAGGAACGAUAAUGACGGUACCUGCAGAAGAAGCUGCGGCUAACUACGUGCCAGCAGCCGCGGUAAUACGUAGGCAGCAAGCGUUGUUCGGAAUUACUGGGCGUAAAGAGUGUGUAGGCGGUUCUCUAAGUUCCGUGUGAAAUCUCCCGGCUUAACUGGGAGGGUGCGCGGAAGACUGGAGGGCUGGAGUAUGGGAGAGGAAAGCGGAAUUCCUGGUGUAGCGGUGAAAUGCGUAGAUAUCAGGAGGAACNNCCUGCGGUGUAGACAGCUUUCUGGACCAUCACUGACGCUGAGACACGAAAGCGUGGGUAGCAAACAGGAUUAGAUACCCUAGUAGUCC